Albula goreensis is the source of this 73-nucleotide non-coding RNA. The record is from the annotation of a GenBank genome assembly. Lineage: Eukaryota; Metazoa; Chordata; Actinopteri; Albuliformes; Albulidae.
CCGAGUGUAGCAUAAUGGUUAGGGAGCUGGGCUUCAAACUCAGAGGUGGUGGGUUUGAUUCCCAGGUAGGGGA